Molecule: small nuclear RNA, 132 nt
Organism: Nomascus leucogenys (northern white-cheeked gibbon)
Lineage: Eukaryota; Metazoa; Chordata; Mammalia; Primates; Hylobatidae
Gene: U4
Rfam family: U4 spliceosomal RNA
About the family: U4 small nuclear RNA (U4 snRNA) is a component of the major U2-dependent spliceosome. The structure of U4 snRNA from yeast and human has been reported. U4 snRNA presents a k-turn RNA motif in the 5p-SL related to recognition of Snu13 protein.
Source: Ensembl
AGCUUUGUGCAGUGGCAGUCUCGUAGCCAAUGAGGUUUAUCCGAGGCGCGAUUAUUGCUAAUUGAAAAACUGAGGAAUAGUUUAGUAAAACACACAGAUCUUAAGUAUAUAAUUUAAUGCCUUUUUACAAAU